GCGGGUGUAGCCAAGUGGUAAGGCGCUGGAUUGUGACUCCAUUACUCGCGGGUUCGAACCCCGUCACUCGCC
This 72-nucleotide transfer RNA is filed under the name Parietochloris pseudoalveolaris. Its description in RNAcentral is "Ettlia pseudoalveolaris tRNA-His". It matches the Rfam family "tRNA". From Rfam's summary of the family: Transfer RNA (tRNA) molecules are approximately 80 nucleotides in length. Lineage: Eukaryota; Viridiplantae; Chlorophyta; Trebouxiophyceae; Trebouxiales; Trebouxiaceae. The record is from RNAcentral.